Neltuma alba is the source of this 99-nucleotide long non-coding RNA. RefSeq lists it as uncharacterized. The record is from RefSeq and is a predicted model, not a curated record. The transcript is spliced from 3 exons. NCBI's taxonomy places the organism in Eukaryota, Viridiplantae, Streptophyta, Magnoliopsida, Fabales, Fabaceae.
UCGAGAGAAAUGAUGAGAGCAGCUGACUUUCUAAUAAUAUCUUCAUCAGGUUCACCAUCAUCUCUUAGUAACCUUCCCAAUGCGUGCUGCUUUAAGUGU